GAUUGAAGAAAGGGAAAUCCUCAACAGGAAAUAAAGGCAGAGAACGAAGUCAUACCAGAGUUUUUCCUCUUUGGCAAGACACACAGGAUGAUUUGAACCUGGGUCAUGCUAGCUUCUUUAACCUGUUUAAACAUUUCUUCAACUCUCUUAACAGGUUCAGCGCUAAUAAAUUCUGAAUUUUCUUCAAUCAGCCUAUAUGGUUGAUCAAUAUGGUGCAAUGAUUAAAGAGAUCAUUAAAUAAGAGAAAAGUUGAUAAAUAUCCAAAGUAAAAUGCCGCCGACUUUGCCAAAUAUCCAAAGUAAAGCCAUGUCACAAUUCACAAAUCCCAAAUGCCUAACCCUAACCCCAGUUUCUGAAAUGAAGAUCUCUCCCUCUUUCCCUUCGAUUCCCAAAUACCUAACCCAAACCCCAAACCCCAAUUUCCAAAAUCAAGAUCUCUCUCUCCCUCCGAUUCCCAAAUCCCAACUGGGAAGAAGAUCAAGGACUGAUAUCGGCAAAUCCAUCAUAGUUUUUGGUGGUUAUAAUGCAUUUAGAAGGAGAACGAGAACCGACUUUUAUGGUGGGUGGAGCAAAGUUUAGAUGGUAUUCUAUUCCAGUCCCUUAUUAUGCAGAUGAUGCAGAGGCAGAGGCAGAAAAAAAGCUGAGUCCGUUUUCUGUAGUGGAGCUUCACAAACUGUUUUCCUUUGUAGCUCUAAAAUCAUCUAUAUAUUGUCUUAGCAGCCCUACUACAAAGACGUGGAUUUUCGAUGGUUGUUAUUGGAAGCUUGGUCCUCAAAUGAAUGUUCGUAGAUCUUAUCAUCACACCAUUGUCCUGGGCGGUAAGCUGUAUGUUUUAGGUGGUUUAUAUGCGGAUGCGAGAGAGGAAUACAUUUGGAUGGAGGUUCUUAACCUGAAACACACAGCCUGGAGACCAUUGCCCAAUCCUCCAUUACAGAUUAGUUCCUUUGGCAUGGUUUCUGCUGCUUUACAGCGCACUAAACAAAUUAUUGUGACUGCAUUCCUUAGGGCGACUCCAAGGUCCACCAUUGUUAUGAUUAUGAUAGUGGUUGUGUGGUUUACAUAUAUGAUGUCUGUACUUGUUGUUGGACAGAACUUGACACUCUGACCAUCAAUCUACGUUGUGGGUCUCUAAUUACGCGUAGUAAUAGAGCUGUAGUAGUGCGGAUGAUACCCUCUACUGGGCUUCGCUCAAUGAGGAUGAUAAGUUUUUAGUUGUCCAUGCUUACUGUCUAUAUAAAAAUGAGUGGUUUGAGGGCUUUAUCAACCCUAAGAGAAUCAUUGGGAUGAAAGAAGCUGUAAGUUAUAUGAAUAAUCCAACUCCUGUCCACUUAGGCGGUACCAAAUUCUGCCUUCUAUUUCAAUCCUACAUCUGUCAUCCGUGGAAACAAGGAAUGCAGAUAUUUGAAAUGAAGCAUGAUUGGUAUCUCCAUUUGGUUGUAUUUGAUUUUUCUCUAGAAUCAGAUCUGGAGGAGGAUUUCGGGAAGCUGCAUAUUUCAGUUGUUUCAACCCAGAAAUAUCGUCUGGAUCACAGUGUAUAUUUCAGUGAUGCUGUGUUGCUGGAGGGUAGUGCCUUUAAUUGCACCUUGCAGAAGAAACCAAAGUUAUGUGCAGAUUAGUGUGGGUCACUUCCUUCAAGGCCAGGACAUGAGAUUGUUGGUGGUGACAGCUUGAGUUUGGAAGAGAGAGCUUUGCCAUAGAGAAAUGUAGAAGAAGGUGGCUGCUCGGCCACAAACAAAUUUAGUUUGGAAUUUGUAAUUUGUAUUAGUGUUAAAUAUUUGAUCUAUAUUAUGAAUAUUAUUGCUUGAUAAAGAAUUUGCUUUGUUAUAUUAUAUUGGUAGUUUAAGGUUUUAUUUUA
Molecule: long non-coding RNA, 1855 nt
Organism: Quercus robur (English oak)
Lineage: Eukaryota; Viridiplantae; Streptophyta; Magnoliopsida; Fagales; Fagaceae
Exons: 3
Source: RefSeq, a predicted model, not a curated record